Molecule: non-coding RNA, 2616 nt
Organism: Megalopta genalis
Lineage: Eukaryota; Metazoa; Arthropoda; Insecta; Hymenoptera; Halictidae
Source: RefSeq, a predicted model, not a curated record
GGAACAUCAGAAGGGAACCAACACCACGACCAGAAAGACGGGAACAUCUAGGUUCGGCAGCGGCGUGUCUUAACACCUGAACACCACCACCAUGGCUGACCCGGAAAAACAGCCCGAACAAUCAAAGGCUGUCCAGCCGAAGCAGGUCAUCGCUACCAAAGUGACCGGGACUGUGAAAUGGUUCAACGUGAAGAGUGGAUACGGAUUCAUCAACAGGAACGACACCAAGGAGGACGUGUUCGUUCAUCAAUCGGCGAUCGUGAAGAACAAUCCAAGGAAGAUUGUCCGUAGCGUCGGUGACGGAGAAGUGGUCGAGUUCGACGUGGUGAUCGGCGAGAAGGGUCACGAAGCGGCCAACGUAACCGGUCCUUGCGGGGAAGCGGUCAAGGGUUCGCCUUACGCUGCCGACAAGCGACGCGGAUUCCGCGGAGUUCACUGGUACAUCAGUCAGAAACGUGGCAACACUCGAACUCAGCGCAGACCGCGCGAGGGUCAGGAGGGCUACGAAGCCGGCGAAGGCAAAUCCGCGGACGAAGCUAACGUCGGCGAAGGUGGUGGACAACAGCGGCGUUACAGGGUCCGAAGGCCGUACGACGGUUACUAUCGCGGGCCGAGACGAUCCGGACCAUCGGCGCAACAGCACACCGACAAUUCCGGCGAACCCGAAGAACAGGAGGGCGAGGGAACAGGUGGCGAAGGUGUGCCCCGCGGCGGCGGUGCUCGCGGCCGCGGCGGAGCUUCCCGCCGCUACUAUCGCCGCAAUUUCCGCGGAGGCAGAGGUGGCGGUCCACCGCGUCGACCUCGCAGCCAGGAUGGUCAAACAAAAUCGGAGCAGAAGUCGGAUGCACCUAUAGAUAAGGAUGCACCUGCCGCUGCCCCUGCUCCACAGGAAAGUCAGCCGGUUCAGAACACCACUACCGAAAGCACCGCUUAAUCAACAGCAAUGGUACCACCACGACAUAACCACUCCUUUUAACAAGUAACACCAACACCCGUUAUACACCGAAGCAGCAGCAGCAGAAACAGCAACAACAACAACAACAACAACGUAACAAAAGAAUCGAACAAAAAAAAAUCUAAAAAAAGAAAGAAGGAAAGCAAAGAAACUAACGAAUCAACGGUACACCGCGCUCUCCUCGGAAGAACGUCGCGUUCUCGAUCGUUUCCUCGAUCGCAGGGUCUCUCUAGGAUCGCUGCGAUAUCUCCGGGAGAACUACGUUGUAUUUUCGUAGAAAGUUUCGGCAAUUGUUAUCGCGGAGAAAGGAGGGAAAGAAUAGAAAGAAGAGAGGGUGACCGACAGCGACCGUCCGCGAAGCCGGCAAACGAGUCGACGACGAUGCGGCAUGUAUUCCGCGCGUUCGACCAUGCUACCGACGAAUGGUUCGCGGGGAUGCAGGCGCGCGACGCUCGUGUCUCGCUCGCGACGAAGAAAAGAAGCGGAGGAAGCGCCGGAUGCACCGACGGUCGACGAACGACGGACAAUGGACGACUGACGGAACGAUGGACGAAAAUCGCGACUGCGACCAAUUCGGUGUACACGAUAGAGGGCAAUCUUGAUCGGAGGAAAGAACGAAAUCGCGGAAAAAGGGAAGAUGCACGGUGAUAUAGGGCAUAAGGACGCGACAUCAACUCGUAUGGACGAAAUUGCUAUUUUUGUUCUUGUUUUUGCGUAUUCAUUGUUUCAUAUGUUUUGAUUUUUCUUCGACGAAACGCAUUCGAUCGUUCUACAUAGACGUCUUUGAGUUUAGUACGAUAUAUACGUGAGGUUCUCUUGUUGCGUACAUCCGUAUACGUAUCCGUUAUCGUGGCGAACGCGCGUUAUUCGCGCGCAAACGCGGAACAACCGAAAACCGUGGGUGGUUCCGUCGUUUGAAAUUCUCUGAAAAUUUUGCCGUUCCUUCGAACGCGCGUUAAACGUUGCGACUACGUUUUGUUUCGUUUCGUUUCGUUUCGUUUCGUUUCGUUUCGUUUCGCUGCGUUACGUUACGUUACGUUUCGACGAACGGAAGUCCGACGCGCGUCGUUUUCAUCUUCCUCGAUUCUCGAUCCUCGCUCGUUCCACUGAUCCGAUCGCGACGAUGCGAAAGCAAACGAGACAGCGUUCCGUUCGAUCGAUCCGGCGACAAUCGUUCGGUAGAUCGAUCGGGACGGUCAACUCGGCCGGUGUGCCCCUGGCGGGCCCCAGGUGCGAUCUGUCCAUGGUUUUCGGAUCGACGCCAUUCCACGAUUGCGCGAUUAUUCCAAGACUCGCGCGCGUCGAUUGCGUACGAUAUUAAGAAAUCGCAGUUAUUCUGCUACGACUCGAUUGACGACGCAAAUCCCUGACUUGUCAAUGGAGUGAGAGAGUAAAAGGAAUACAGAAACAAAAAGAGAAACAAGAAUGAGUGAGAGGAACAGAGAGUUUGUGUGCGUCAAUGUAUGUGUGCGUCUGUAUGCGUGCGUGUGUGCGUGUGACAGGAUAGGAGAGAGAGAGAGAGAGAGAGAGAGAGAAAGAGAGCGAGAGAGAGAGAGAGAAAGAAAUUUAUAUGUUUUUGCAUGAAAACAAAACUACUUUUUUAAAUUUUAGUUUGUAGUCAUAUCGUCGGAAAAUAAAGUAUACAAUUUUCUUCAACAACG